This 496-nucleotide ribosomal RNA is filed under the name uncultured bacterium. RNAcentral describes it as "partial 16S ribosomal RNA". It matches the Rfam family "Bacterial small subunit ribosomal RNA", at positions 29 to 507 of the family's 1533-position model. The record is from RNAcentral.
AUGCACGCUGGCGGCGUGCCUCAUCCCUGCCAGUCGAGCGAACAGACGAGGAGCUUGCUCCUCUGACGUUAGCGGCGGACGGGUGAGUAACACGUGGAUAACCUACCUAUAAGACUGGGAUAACUUCGGGAAACCGGAGCUAAUACCGGAUAAUAUAUUGAACCGCAUGGUUCAAUAGUGAAAGACGGUUUUGCUGUCACUUAUAGAUGGAUCCGCGCCGCAUUAGCUAGUUGGUAAGGUAACGGCUUACCAAGGCGACGAUGCGUAGCCGACCUGAGAGGGUGAUCGGCCACACUGGAACUGAGACACGGUCCAGACUCCUACGGGAGGCAGCAGUAGGGAAUCUUCCGCAAUGGGCGAAAGCCUGACGGAGCAACGCCGCGUGAGUGAUGAAGGUCUUCGGAUCGUAAAACUCUGUUAUUAGGGAAGAACAAAUGUGUAAGUAACUAUGCACGUCUUGACGGUACCUAAUCAGAAAGCCACGGCUAACUACGUG